UCGUAGGAACUGAUCAGCCAUGCCGCGUGCAGGAGAGGCCUUCUGCGUUGUAACUGCUUUACCCAGGGGAUAAAAAGACCUUGCGAGGUUAAUUGAAGGUACCUGAAUAAUAAGCCACGGCUAACUACGUGCCAGCAGCCGCGGUAAUACGUAGGUGGCAAGCGUUGUCCGGAUUUAUUGGGUUUAAAGGGUGCGUAGGCGGCCCUGUAAGUCAGUGCUGAAAUAUCCCGGCUUAACCGGGAGGGUGGCAUUGAUACUGCAGGGCUUGAGUACAGAUGAAGUAGGCGGAAUUGACGGUGUAGCGGUGAAAUGCAUAGAUAUCGUCAAGAACACCGAUAGCGAAGGCAGCUUACUAAACUGUAACUGACGCUGAGGCACGAAAGUGUGGGGAUCAAACAGGAUUAGAUACCCUGGUAGUCCACACUGUAAACGUUGAUGACUCGAUGUUGGCGAUACACAGCCAGCGUCCAAGAGCAAUCGUUAAGUCAUCCACCUGGGGAGUACGCCGGCAACGGUGAAACUCAAAGAAAUUGACGGAAA
This 540-nucleotide ribosomal RNA is filed under the name uncultured bacterium. RNAcentral's name for it is "bacterial SSU rRNA". It matches the Rfam family "Bacterial small subunit ribosomal RNA", at positions 375 to 919 of the family's 1533-position model. The record is from RNAcentral.